CCCCGACCUGAUUCGGUGGGCACCGCCGGGGAACGGGGACACAGGUGUGCAUGGCUGUCGUCAGCUCGUGCCGUAGGUGUUGGGUUAAGUCCCGCAACGAGCGCAACCCGCAUUAGUUGCCACCGGUUAGCGGGCACUCUAAGACCUGCCGGUACAACCGGAGGAAGGUGGGGAGCGUCAAGUCAUCAUGGCCCUUAUGGCUAGGGCUCACACGUCUACAAUGGCGGGUACAAAGGGUGAAGCCCCGAGGGGACCAAUCCCAAAACGCAUCGUAGUCCGGAUGGCAGUCCACUCGCUCAUGAAGUCGGAAUCCUAGUAAUCGCGAUCAGCAU
Molecule: ribosomal RNA, 332 nt
Filed under: uncultured Hydrogenophilus sp.
Lineage: Bacteria; Pseudomonadati; Pseudomonadota; Hydrogenophilia; Hydrogenophilales; Hydrogenophilaceae
Description: bacterial SSU rRNA
Rfam family: Bacterial small subunit ribosomal RNA
Source: RNAcentral